GCAGCCUGCAGUCGGGGGCGCCACCCCCGCGCGCCCACCCUGCUCCACCGUUUUGAAACUCAGCAGCUGUUUUAACAAUUGAAAAAGCGACCCUACAGGACCAGUGAGAGACGGGGCAGAGUGUGUGAAGCCAUUAAGGCUGACUAGAUAAGCCCAAGAGCUACGGCAGGGGAUCCCUGGAUCCCAGCCCAGAAGAUCCAGAGCUGGGGCUCCUGCACCUGAGCUAGGACCCAGAGUCAGUCGCCCUGGCACUCAUGAACAUUCAUUAAGUACCUCCUGUGUACCCUGCAUGGCUUGGUGCUGAGAUUUAAAGAGAUGAAGCUACCGAGGCAGUCAGAACUCAUCAUAUUUCUCCGUCAAGAAAAGAUCUCAACCCAGGCAGUGCCUUUCACUGACCAUCUUGCCUCACCUUUCAGAAUGGAAUCAAGAAAACAAAGGGACUGUGAAACUUCAACAAACAAUGAACAGAUCAUUUCAAAAUUUCCAAACAGUUGCUCAAAAUAAAGUCAUAGACUGCAGUU
Molecule: long non-coding RNA, 521 nt
Organism: Talpa occidentalis (Iberian mole)
Lineage: Eukaryota; Metazoa; Chordata; Mammalia; Eulipotyphla; Talpidae
Exons: 4
Source: RefSeq, a predicted model, not a curated record